This 91-nucleotide ribosomal RNA is filed under the name uncultured bacterium. RNAcentral's name for it is "partial 16S ribosomal RNA". The record is from RNAcentral.
CACAUCAUGGGAGUCGCUUGUACCCGAAGUGUCUGUGCCAAUCCGCGCAAGCGGAAGGCAGGGCCCUAAGGUAUGAGCGGUAACUGGGAUG